GUUUGACCUCAAAUCAGGUAGGGCUACCCGCUGAACUUAA
Molecule: ribosomal RNA, 40 nt
Filed under: Cryptococcus neoformans
Lineage: Eukaryota; Fungi; Basidiomycota; Tremellomycetes; Tremellales; Cryptococcaceae
Description: partial 26S ribosomal RNA
Source: RNAcentral